This 253-nucleotide ribosomal RNA is filed under the name uncultured bacterium. RNAcentral's name for it is "partial 16S ribosomal RNA". It matches the Rfam family "Bacterial small subunit ribosomal RNA", at positions 524 to 776 of the family's 1533-position model. The record is from RNAcentral.
UACGUAGGGGGCAAGCGUUGUCCGGAUUUAUUGGGCGUAAAGAGCGUGUAGGCGGCUUUGCAAGUCCGUUGUGAAAACUCGAGGCUCAACCUCGAGAUGUCGGCGGAAACCAUCUGGCUAGAGUCCGGAAGAGGAGAGUGGAAUUCCUGGUGUAGCGGUGAAAUGCGCAGAUAUCAGGAAGAACACCCGUGGCGAAGGCGGCUCUCUGGGACGGUACUGACGCUGAGACGCGAAAGCGUGGGGAGCGAACAGG